UACGAAGGGUGCAAACGUUGCUCGGAAUCAUUGGGCGUAAAGCGCACGUAGGCGGCUUCGCAAGUCGGAUGUGAAAUCCCUCGGCUCAACCGAGGACGUGCAUACGAAACUGCGAAGCUUGAGUACUGAAGAGGAUCGCGGAAUUCCCGGUGUAGAGGUGAAAUGCGUAGAUAUCGGGAGGAACACCAGUGGCGAAGGCGACUUCCUGGCCUGUUCUUGACGCUGAGGCGCGAAAGCUAGGGGAGCAAACGGG
Molecule: ribosomal RNA, 253 nt
Filed under: uncultured bacterium
Lineage: Bacteria
Description: partial 16S ribosomal RNA
Rfam family: Bacterial small subunit ribosomal RNA
Source: RNAcentral